CAGCCGCCACGGGAAUACGUAGGGUGCGAGCGUUAAUCGGAAUUACUGGGCGUAAAGCGUGCGCAGGCGGUUAUAUAAGACAGAUGUGAAAUCCCCGGGCUCAACCUGGGACCUGCAUUUGUGACUGUAUAGCUAGAGUACGGUAGAGGGGGAUGGAAUUCCGCGUGUAGCAGUGAAAUGCGUAGAUAUGCGGAGGAACACCGAUGGCGAAGGCAAUCCCCUGGACCUGUACUGACGCUCAUGCACGAAAGCGUGAGGAGCAAACAGGAUUAGAUACCCCAGUAGUCCCUGUCUCUUAUAC
RNAcentral lists this ribosomal RNA (301 nucleotides) under uncultured bacterium. RNAcentral's name for it is "partial 16S ribosomal RNA". It matches the Rfam family "Bacterial small subunit ribosomal RNA", at positions 509 to 807 of the family's 1533-position model. The record is from RNAcentral.